CCUACGGGCGGCAGCAGUGGGGAAUAUUGGACAAUGGGGGCAACCCUGAUCCAGCCAUGCCGCGUGUGUGAAGAAGGCCCUCGGGUUGUAAAGCACUUUCAGUGAGGAAGAACGCCUGGUGGUUAAUACCCAUCAGGAAAGACAUCACUCACAGAAGAAGCACCGGCUAACUCCGUGCCAGCAGCCGCGGUAAUACGGAGGGUGCGAGCGUUAAUCGGAAUUACUGGGCGUAAAGCGCGCGUGGGUGGCUUGAUAAGCCGGUUGUGAAAGCCCCGGGCUCAACCUGGGAACGGCAUCCGGAACUGUCAAGCUAGAGUGCAGGAGAGGAAGGUAGAAUUCCCGGUGUAGCGGUGAAAUGCGUAGAGAUCGGGAGGAAUACCAGUGGCGAAGGCGGCCUUCUGGACUGACACUGACACUGAGGUGCGAAAGCGUGGGUAGCAAACAGGAUUAGAUACCCCGGUAGUC
Molecule: ribosomal RNA, 465 nt
Filed under: Vreelandella stevensii
Lineage: Bacteria; Pseudomonadati; Pseudomonadota; Gammaproteobacteria; Oceanospirillales; Halomonadaceae
Description: partial 16S ribosomal RNA
Rfam family: Bacterial small subunit ribosomal RNA
Source: RNAcentral